GAAGUGACAGGUGCUGCACGGCUGUCGUCAGCGUCGUGUCGUGAGAUGUUGGGUUAAGUCCCGCAACGAGCGCAACCCUCGUGUUUAGUUGCUAACAGUUCGGCUGAGCACUCUAAACAGACUGCCUUCGUAAGGAGGAGGAAGGUGAGGACGACGUCAAGUCAUCAUGGCCCUUAUGGCCAGGGCUACACACGUGCUACAAUGGAUAGGACAAUGAGACGCAAUACCGCGAGGUGGAGCAAAUCUAUAAACCUAUUCUCAGUUCGGAUUGUUCUCUGCAACUCGAGAACAUGAAGCUGGAAUCGCUAGUAAUCGUAGAUCAGCAUUGCUACGGUGAAUACGUUCCCGGGUCUU
Molecule: ribosomal RNA, 354 nt
Filed under: uncultured Sulfurospirillum sp.
Lineage: Bacteria; Pseudomonadati; Campylobacterota; Epsilonproteobacteria; Campylobacterales; Sulfurospirillaceae
Description: bacterial SSU rRNA
Rfam family: Bacterial small subunit ribosomal RNA
Source: RNAcentral